UACGAACGCUGGCGGCGUGCUUAACACAUGCAAGUCGAACGGAAAGGCCCCUUUGGGGGUACUCGAGUGGCGCACGGGUGAGUAACACGUGAGUAACCUGCCCUUGACUUCGGGAUAACUUCAGGAAACUGGGGCUAAUACCGGAUAGGAAUCCUUGCUGCAUGGUGGGGGUUGGAAAGCUUCGGCGGUUUUGGAUGGACUCGCGGCUUAUCAGCUUGUUGGUGGGGUAGUGGCUUACCAAGGCUUUGACGGGUAGCCGGCCUGAGAGGGCGACCGGCCACAUUGGGACUGAGAUACGGCCCAGACUCCUACGGGAGGCAGCAGUGGGGAAUAUUGCACAAUGGGCGGAAGCCUGAUGCAGCAACGCCGCGUGCGGGAUGACGGCCUUCGGGUUGUAAACCGCUUUCAGCAGGGGCGAAGCUUGUGGUGACGGUACCUGCAGAAGAAGCACCGGCUAACUACGUG
This 465-nucleotide ribosomal RNA is filed under the name uncultured bacterium. RNAcentral describes it as "partial 16S ribosomal RNA". It matches the Rfam family "Bacterial small subunit ribosomal RNA", at positions 29 to 507 of the family's 1533-position model. The record is from RNAcentral.